AGGGCAGCCAAGUCGUGAGGCGGAGCUAAGCCCUUAAAGCCAUUCUCAGUUCGGAUUGUAGGCUGAAACUCGCCUACAUGAAGCUGGAGUUACUAGUAAUCGCAGAUCAGAAUGCUGCGGUGAAUGCGUUCCCGGGUCUUGUACACACCGCCCGUCACACCACGGAAGUUGGGGGCGCCCGAAGCCACUUAGCUAACCCUUUUGGGAAGCGAGUGUCGAAGGUGAAAUCAAUAACUGGGGUGAAGUCGUAACAAGGUACC
Molecule: ribosomal RNA, 260 nt
Filed under: uncultured bacterium
Lineage: Bacteria
Description: partial 16S ribosomal RNA
Rfam family: Bacterial small subunit ribosomal RNA
Source: RNAcentral